This 801-nucleotide ribosomal RNA is filed under the name uncultured bacterium. RNAcentral's name for it is "bacterial SSU rRNA". It matches the Rfam family "Bacterial small subunit ribosomal RNA", at positions 8 to 810 of the family's 1533-position model. The record is from RNAcentral.
AGAGUUUGAUCCUGGCUCAGGAUGAACGCUGACGGCGUGCUUAACACAUGCAAGUCGAACGGGAAACCUUUUAUUGAAGCUUCGGCAGAUUUAGCUGGUUUCUAGUGGCGGACGGGUGAGUAACGCGUGGGUAACCUGCCUUAUACAGGGGGAUAACAACCAGAAAUGGUUGCUAAUACCGCAUAAGCGCACAGGACCGCAUGGUCCGGUGUGAAAAACUCCGGUGGUAUAAGAUGGACCCGCGUUGGAUUAGCUAGUUGGCGGGGUAACGGCCUACCAAGGCGACGAUCCAUAGCCGGCCUGAGAGGGUGAACGGCCACAUUGGGACUGAGACACGGCCCAGACUCCUACGGGAGGCAGCAGUGGGGAAUAUUGCACAAUGGGGGAAACCCUGAUGCAGCGACGCCGCGUGAAGGAAGAAGUAUCUCGGUAUGUAAACUUCUAUCAGCAGGGAAGAUAGUGACGGUACCUGACUAAGAAGCCCCGGCUAACUACGUGCCAGCAGCCGCGGUAAUACGUAGGGGGCAAGCGUUAUCCGGAUUUACUGGGUGUAAAGGGAGCGUAGACGGACUGGCAAGUCUGAUGUGAAAGGCGGGGGCUCAACCCCUGGACUGCAUUGGAAACUGUUAGUCUUGAGUGCCGGAGAGGUAAGCGGAAUUCCUAGUGUAGCGGUGAAAUGCGUAGAUAUUAGGAGGAACACCAGUGGCGAAGGCGGCUUACUGGACGGUAACUGACGUUGAGGCUCGAAAGCGUGGGGAGCAAACAGGAUGAGAUACCCUGGUAGUCCACGCCGUAAACGAU